GUGUAAUUUGACAAAUUUACAUGUAAACAUUAAGGAGUGAGGAAGUUAAAACGAUACCAAUCGAGUUUUAGAGCUUUGGUGACCAUUUUAAAAGAAUAUAUCAUAAAUUCAAAGGUAAGUCUAUCGUACUGCAUUGUCUUAAAUGAAUUCUCAGCUGAAAUACGGCAAUAAAUGGAUCAUAAACGUAGCUAAAUUUACUGUUGACAACGAGGUUGACAGAUCCAUUGCUUUUUUGCCUUGAAUAGCUUUACCAUAGUCAUUUUACCUUAAAAUGUAGCUACUGAGGAUAUCUCUAAGAGAUUUACACAGAUUAUUUGCACAAUCUUACGAUUUAAUACUUUUAACCUAGGGGUCUUAAUCAAAAGCCUUUGUUUGGUUUCUAGUAGACCUCUAGCCCUAUUUCUGUAAUUCUAUAUCGUAUAUAUACAUAUAUAUAUAUUUUUUCUGUAUGUAUGGGCGAAAACUUUAAAAAAUAAAUAAAAAUAAAAUAAUUUAAUCAUGCUGAUAACAUGAAAAUCCUUGUGCCAUUCUAUACUUGGCAUAAUCUCUACAUCAAUAGUUCACCAGUUCACUAAUAUAAAUUCAAUAUAUUUUUGAACCAGUCCAUAUAUUAUUAUACACAAUGUAGUAUAGUUAAUUUGACCAUAUUUGAGAAGUAAGGGUGUAUUUCAUUACACAGACACUGCUGAAUUUUAGGUUACAUGCCAUUGGAUUGAUAUAUAAAAAAACACUUGUAAAACACACACAUUAUUUUUAUCUUGUUGAUAGAAUAGUUAUUUGCAGUAUACUAACUGUUGGCAUACUCUAUUUCAGGACUAUCAAUUGUUUUUGUCACUGACAGUCUUUGAAAUACAAUCUUGCUCCGUGGCCUUUACUGACAAGUUGGCUUUUACUACAUAUGUGGCACUGACACUUCUUUAAUUAAUGCACCAGUCAACGUAAACCCCCGAACUGGGGAAGGGCAGGGAUUUUGACUUGGAGGGGUAGUAAAAGAGCGAAAUUGGCCCCACCCCCAGGGACAUCAAUGUCCCCUGCAUGUCUGUCAACCCCAGGAAAAUAGUUUUGUAUAAUCAUAGAUCAGCAAUAGAAAAUCAAAUUCAUUUAUGUUAUUGUAUUUAAACUUUUCUUGUCAAGAAAACUAAAACAGCAACACAGGAUAUAUAUGUUAACCACUGUCCAAGUCUCCCAUCAUCGGGGCCAAAUUUAUAAUCAAAACUGACCACUUUCCCCGAUAAACCUUCCGCCCUCCCUGGUUGGGGGCAGGGAUUUACAUUGACUGGUGCAUAACUAGAUGAUUGCAUAAAGCAUUGCAUGGAAGUUGAUUUAUAAUUAGUUUAGGAAUAAACUCACACUUUCAUUAUAAUGGUUGAUCGAAUAUAUCAAAUGCAUUUGAUUGGUUGAUGGUCCCUUACUGUCGUUCCAAUUGAAGUGUUCCUCAAAUAUUGAUUCAAUACAUUACCUCGGGCUGACCAAUUCAUUUCAUCAAGUUCCUCGAGAUAUUCAUACACUUCCUGUGAAAGAGCCAAUUCCAAUGUCAAAAAUUUUUUUCGGAAAUAACUUUUUUUAAACAAAAUAUUGCAAAUUUGUCCC
RNAcentral lists this long non-coding RNA (1590 nucleotides) under Paramuricea clavata. Lineage: Eukaryota; Metazoa; Cnidaria; Anthozoa; Malacalcyonacea; Plexauridae. The record is from RNAcentral.